RNAcentral lists this unclassified non-coding RNA (757 nucleotides) under Leishmania donovani. Its description in RNAcentral is "gene:unknown". The record is from RNAcentral. Lineage: Eukaryota; Euglenozoa; Kinetoplastea; Trypanosomatida; Trypanosomatidae.
AUUUUUGCGUCCGAGCAGCAGCAGCAGCUCACUGCAUUAUCUGAUGCGCCGACAGCGCGCGCACACCUCCGUUUUCUUUGCCUGUACUCCCUUCUUCUGUGAGGCCCGGUGAGACACACAAGUAGACCGCGCCAGCAACAACGAGCAAGCACUGCCUCAGUGCUUACGCAAGCUCCGUCUCCUCCUCUGUUCCCCCCCCUUGCCGCUUCAUUGUUUUGUUUUGUUUUUCGUUUUUGUUGUGCCUCUGUUCUCCAUUUUGGGCUGAAAGUGCCGUUGGCAAUCCCCCUCCCCCCAUCCGGGGCCCUCCCUCCCCGCCUCCCUUUCCGUGUUGCCGCCCCCCCCCGUCCCCGCCUUUCCCCUAAAGUCUCUCUUACCUCUCCGCAUCCUGUCGUUUUUUUUUUCUUACCCCUGCCUUGCUCUCUCCCUCUCAGCGUAGACGUGUGAGUCCUGUUCAAGACGUGCCAGCACGGCACACGCCUCUGUGCUUGCUUCUUGUUUUGUUUUUGCGUUGCUGUUUCUGCAUCCAACCGCCUCCGCCUUCUCUCUGCACGCCUACGUUGUCACACGACUGCCGCCACAGAGCACGCAAAAAGAAAAGCGUUCUCCUCCUCUCUGCUGUUCGGUUUCCGCGAGUGUUGUGAAAUGUUACUUCAUCGCGUAACAUCCCUCUCGCUGUGCUCCUGUUGAUCGCUUUCGGCUCUACCUUCCUUGGCGUGUACACCGCUUCCACAAUACUCACGCCAUUCUCUCCCCCAAG